This 3088-nucleotide ribosomal RNA is filed under the name Saccharomyces cerevisiae (brewer's yeast). It matches the Rfam family "Bacterial large subunit ribosomal RNA". The record is from RNAcentral. Lineage: Eukaryota; Fungi; Ascomycota; Saccharomycetes; Saccharomycetales; Saccharomycetaceae.
AUAAUCAUGGAGUAUAAUAAUUAAAUUUAAUAAAUUUAAUAUAACUAUUAAUAGAAUUAGGUUACUAAUAAAUUAAUAACAAUUAAUUUUAAAACCUAAAGGUAAACCUUUAUAUUAAUAAUGUUAUUUUUUAUUAUAUUUAUAAUAAGAAUAAUUAUUAAUAAUAAUAAACUAAGUGAACUGAAACAUCUAAGUAACUUAAGGAUAAGAAAUCAACAGAGAUAUUAUGAGUAUUGGUGAGAGAAAAUAAUAAAGGUCUAAUAAGUAUUAUGUGAAAAAAAUGUAAGAAAAUAGGAUAACAAAUUCUAAGACUAAAUACUAUUAAUAAGUAUAGUAAGUACCGUAAGGGAAAGUAUGAAAAUGAUUAUUUUAUAAGCAAUCAUGAAUAUAUUAUAUUAUAUUAAUGAUGUACCUUUUGUAUAAUGGGUCAGCAAGUAAUUAAUAUUAGUAAAACAAUAAGUUAUAAAUAAAUAGAAUAAUAUAUAUAUAUAAAAAAAUAUAUUAAAAUAUUUAAUUAAUAUUAAUUGACCCGAAAGCAAACGAUCUAACUAUGAUAAGAUGGAUAAACGAUCGAACAGGUUGAUGUUGCAAUAUCAUCUGAUUAAUUGUGGUUAGUAGUGAAAGACAAAUCUGGUUUGCAGAUAGCUGGUUUUCUAUGAAAUAUAUGUAAGUAUAGCCUUUAUAAAUAAUAAUUAUUAUAUAAUAUUAUAUUAAUAUUAUAUAAAGAAUGGUACAGCAAUUAAUAUAUAUUAGGGAACUAUUAAAGUUUUAUUAAUAAUAUUAAAUCUCGAAAUAUUUAAUUAUAUAUAAUAAAGAGUCAGAUUAUGUGCGAUAAGGUAAAUAAUCUAAAGGGAAACAGCCCAGAUUAAGAUAUAAAGUUCCUAAUAAAUAAUAAGUGAAAUAAAUAUUAAAAUAUUAUAAUAUAAUCAGUUAAUGGGUUUGACAAUAACCAUUUUUUAAUGAACAUGUAACAAUGCACUGAUUUAUAAUAAAUAAAAAAAAAAUAAUAUUUAAAAUCAAAUAUAUAUAUAUUUGUUAAUAGAUAAUAUACGGAUCUUAAUAAUAAGAAUUAUUUAAUUCCUAAUAUGGAAUAUUAUAUUUUUAUAAUAAAAAUAUAAAUACUGAAUAUCUAAAUAUUAUUAUUACUUUUUUUUUUUAAUAAUAAUAAUAUGGUAAUAGAACAUUUAAUGAUAAUAUAUAUUAGUUAUUAAUUAAUAUAUGUAUUAAUUAAAUAGAGAAUGCUGACAUGAGUAACGAAAAAAAGGUAUAAACCUUUUCACCUAAAACAUAAGGUUUAACUAUAAAAGUACGGCCCCUAAUUAAAUUAAUAAGAAUAUAAAUAUAUUUAAGAUGGGAUAAUCUAUAUUAAUAAAAAUUUAUCUUAAAAUAUAUAUAUUAUUAAUAAUUAUAUUAAUAAUAUAUAUAAUUAUAUUAUAUAUUAUAUAUUUUUUUAUAUAAUAUAAACUAAUAAAGAUCAGGAAAUAAUUAAUGUAUACCGUAAUGUAGACCGACUCAGGUAUGUAAGUAGAGAAUAUGAAGGUGAAUUAGAUAAUUAAAGGGAAGGAACUCGGCAAAGAUAGCUCAUAAGUUAGUCAAUAAAGAGUAAUAAGAACAAAGUUGUACAACUGUUUACUAAAAACACCGCACUUUGCAGAAACGAUAAGUUUAAGUAUAAGGUGUGAACUCUGCUCCAUGCUUAAUAUAUAAAUAAAAUUAUUUAACGAUAAUUUUAUUAAAUUUAGGUAAAUAGCAGCCUUAUUAUGAGGGUUAUAAUGUAGCGAAAUUCCUUGGCCUAUAAUUGAGGUCCCGCAUGAAUGACGUAAUGAUACAACAACUGUCUCCCCUUUAAGCUAAGUGAAAUUGAAAUCGUAGUGAAGAUGCUAUGUACCUUCAGCAAGACGGAAAGACCCUAUGCAGCUUUACUGUAAUUAGAUAGAUCGAAUUAUUGUUUAUUAUAUUCAGCAUAUUAAGUAAUCCUAUUAUUAGGUAAUCGUUUAGAUAUUAAUGAGAUACUUAUUAUAAUAUAAUGAUAAUUCUAAUCUUAUAAAUAAUUAUUAUUAUUAUUAUUAAUAAUAAUAAUAUGCUUUCAAGCAUAGUGAUAAAACAUAUUUAUAUGAUAAUCACUUUACUUAAUAGAUAUAAUUCUUAAGUAAUAUAUAAUAUAUAUUUUAUAUAUAUUAUAUAUAAUAUAAGAGACAAUCUCUAAUUGGUAGUUUUGAUGGGGCGUCAUUAUCAGCAAAAGUAUCUGAAUAAGUCCAUAAAUAAAUAUAUAAAAUUAUUGAAUAAAAAAAAUAAUAUAUAUUAUAUAUAUUAAUUAUAAAUUGAAAUAUGUUUAUAUAAAUUUAUAUUUAUUGAAUAUAUUUUAGUAAUAGAUAAAAAUAUGUACAGUAAAAUUGUAAGGAAAACAAUAAUAACUUUCCUCAAAAAAUAAUUAUGGAAAGAAUUAAAUUAAUAUAAUGGUAUAACUGUGCGAUAAUUGUAACACAAACGAGUGAAACAAGUACGUAAGUAUGGCAUAAUGAACAAAUAACACUGAUUGUAAAGGUUAUUGAUAACGAAUAAAAGUUACGCUAGGGAUAACAGGGUAAUAUAACGAAAGAGUAGAUAUUGUAAGUUAUGUUUGCCACCUCGAUGUCGACUCAACAUUUCCUCUUGGUUGUAAAAGCUAAGAAGGGUUUGACUGUUCGUCAAUUAAAAUGUUACGUGAGUUGGGUUAAAUACGAUGUGAAUCAGUAUGGUUCCUAUCUGCUGAAGGAAAUAUUAUCAAAUUAAAUCUCAUUAUUAGUACGCAAGGACCAUAAUGAAUCAACCCAUGGUGUAUCUAUUGAUAAUAAUAUAAUAUAUUUAAUAAAAAUAAUACUUUAUUAAUAUAUUAUCUAUAUUAGUUUAUAUUUUAAUUAUAUAUUAUCAUAGUAGAUAAGCUAAGUUGAUAAUAAAUAAAUAUUGAAUACAUAUUAAAUAUGAAGUUGUUUUAAUAAGAUAAUUAAUCUGAUAAUUUUAUACUAAAAUUAAUAAUUAUAGGUUUUAUAUAUUAUUUAUAAAUAAAUAUAUUAUAAUAAUAAUAAUUAUUAUUAUUAAUAAAAAAUAU